CCUACGGGUGGCUGCAGUGGGGGAUAUUGCACAAUGGGGGGAACCCUGAUGCAGCGACGCCGCGUGGGUGAAGGAGAGUUUCGGCGCGUAAAGCCCUAUCGACAGGGAAGAGCAGAAGACGGUACCUGUCGAAUAAGCCACGGCUAACUACGUGCCAGCAGCCGCGGUAAUACGUAGGUGGCAAGCGUUGGCCGGAUUUACUGGGUGUAAAGGGCGGGUAGCCGGGCUGACAAGUCAGAUGUGAAAUCCGGGGGCUCAACCCCCGAACUGCCUUUGAAACUGUUGGUCUUGAGUAUCGGUGAGGCAGGCGGCAUUCCUAGUGUAGCGGUUAAAUGCGUAGAUAUUAGGAGGCACACCAGUGGCGCAGGCGGCCUGCUGGACGACAACUGACGGUGAGGCGCGAAAGCGUGGGGAGCAAACAGGCUUAGAUACCCGGGUAGUC
This 442-nucleotide ribosomal RNA is filed under the name uncultured bacterium. RNAcentral's name for it is "partial 16S ribosomal RNA". It matches the Rfam family "Bacterial small subunit ribosomal RNA", at positions 338 to 795 of the family's 1533-position model. The record is from RNAcentral.